UUUAUUUUUAAGAUAUUUAUAAAAGAAAAAAGUCUGUCUUAUAAGCUGACAAAUAUGGUAAUUAUUUUAAUUUAAUUAUUUUUCUUUUUCUUUAUUAUAUCUUAGCAUUUAUACAUUUUGCAAAUAUUGAAAAAAUGAAAUAUAAAAUUAACAGGCAGAAUGGAAAACCAGUAAUAAAGAGAGAGCUGACAGGCUUUGACAUACUGAGAAACGACAAAGAUGAUCCAAUACAAACUGAAAAGUUCAGAGUAUAUACCAUACCAAUAGUAGAUAUAGAAACAGGAGAGAUUAAGGAAUAUAUAGGAGAGACAAAAUGUCUACUAGGAAAUAGAUUCAGCAAACAUAAAAUGGACAUAAAGAAAGAUCACAUGAUUUAACUUUAAUAU
Molecule: long non-coding RNA, 386 nt
Filed under: Androctonus crassicauda
Lineage: Eukaryota; Metazoa; Arthropoda; Arachnida; Scorpiones; Buthidae
Source: RNAcentral